RNAcentral lists this ribosomal RNA (450 nucleotides) under uncultured bacterium. RNAcentral describes it as "partial 16S ribosomal RNA". It matches the Rfam family "Bacterial small subunit ribosomal RNA", at positions 354 to 796 of the family's 1533-position model. The record is from RNAcentral.
GUGGGGAAUAUUGGACAAUGGGCGAAAGCCUGAUCCAGCCAUGCCGCGUGUGUGAAGAAGGUCUUCGGAUUGUAAAGCACUUUAAGUUGGGAGGAAGGGCAGUAAGUUAAUACCUUGCUGUUUUGACGUUACCGACAGAAUAAGCACCGGCUAACUUCGUGCCAGCAGCCGCGGUAAUACGAAGGGUGCAAGCGUUAAUCGGAAUUACUGGGCGUAAAGCGCGCGUAGGUGGUUUUGUAAGUUGGAGGUGAAAUCCCCGGGCUCAACCUGGGAACUGCCUCCAAAACUGCAUGACUAGAGUACGGUAGAGGGUAGUGGAAUUUCCUGUGUAGCGGUGAAAUGCGUAGAUAUAGGAAUGAACACCAGUGGCGAAGGCGACUACCUGGACUGAUACUGACACUGAGGUGCGAAAGCGUGGGGAGCAAACAGGAUUAGAAACCCCGGUAGUCC